This 467-nucleotide ribosomal RNA is filed under the name uncultured bacterium. RNAcentral's name for it is "partial 16S ribosomal RNA". It matches the Rfam family "Bacterial small subunit ribosomal RNA", at positions 28 to 506 of the family's 1533-position model. The record is from RNAcentral.
GACGAACGCUGGCGGCGUGCUUAACACAUGCAAGUCGAACGGAAAGGCCCUGCUUUUGUGGGGUGCUCGAGUGGCGAACGGGUGAGUAACACGUGAGUAACCUGCCCUUGACUUUGGGAUAACUUCAGGAAACUGGGGCUAAUACCGGAUAGGAGCUCCUGCUGCAUGGUGGGGGUUGGAAAGUUUCGGCGGUUGGGGAUGGACUCGCGGCUUAUCAGCUUGUUGGUGGGGUAGUGGCUUACCAAGGCUUUGACGGGUAGCCGGCCUGAGAGGGUGACCGGCAACAUGGGGCCUGAGAUACGGCCCAGACUCCUACGGGAGGCAGCAGGGGGGAAUAUUGAACAAGGGGCGGAAGCCUGAGGAAGCAACGCCGCGGGGGGGAUGACGGCCUUCGGGUUGUAAACCGCUUUCGCCUGUGACGAAGCGUGAGUGACGGUAAUGGGUAAAGAAGCACCGGCUAACUACGU